UGGGGAAUAUUGCACAAUGGGCGCAAGCCUGAUGCAGCCAUGCCGCGUGUAUGAAGAAGGCCUUCUGGUUGUAAAGUACUUUCAGCGGGGAGGAAGGGAGUAAAGUUAAUACCUUUGCUCAUUGACGUUACCCGCAGAAGAAGCACCGGCUAACUCCGUGCCAGCAGCCGCGGUAAUACGGAGGGUGCAAGCGUUAAUCGGAAUUACUGGGCGUAAAGCGCACGCAGGCGGUUUGUUAAGUCAGAUGUGAAAUCCCCGGGCUCAACCUGGGAACUGCAUCUGAUACUGGCAAGCUUGAGUCUCGUAGAGGGGGGUAGAAUUCCAGGUGUAGCGGUGAAAUGCGUAGAGAUCUGGAGGAAUACCGGUGGCGAAGGCGGCCCCCUGGACGAAGACUGACGCUCAGGUGCGAAAGCGUGGGGAGCAAACAGG
This 429-nucleotide ribosomal RNA is filed under the name Chloroflexota bacterium. RNAcentral's name for it is "Chloroflexi bacterium partial 16S ribosomal RNA". It matches the Rfam family "Bacterial small subunit ribosomal RNA", at positions 355 to 776 of the family's 1533-position model. The record is from RNAcentral. Lineage: Bacteria; Bacillati; Chloroflexota.